GACGAACGCUGGCGGCGUGCUUAACACAUGCAAGUCGAACGGAAAGGCCCUGCUUUUGUGGGGUGCUCGAGUGGCGAACGGGUGAGUAACACGUGAGUAACCUGCCCUUGACUUUGGGAUAACUUCAGGAAACUGGGGCUAAUACCGGAUAGGAGCUCCUGCUGCAUGGUGGGGGUUGGAAAGUUUCGGCGGUUGGGGAUGGACUCGCGGCUUAUCAGCUUGUUGGUGGGGUAGUGGCUUACCAAGGCUUUGACGGGUAGCCGGCCUGAGAGGGUGACCGGCCACAUUGGGACUGAGAUACGGCCCAGACUGCUACGGGAGGCAGCAGUGGGGAAUAUUGCACAAUGGGCGGAAGCCUGAUGCAGCAACGCCGCGUGCGGGAUGACGGCCUUCGGGUGGUAAACCGCUUUCGCCUGUGACGAAGCGUGAGUGACGGUAAUGGGUAAAGAAGCACCGGCUAACUACGUG
RNAcentral lists this ribosomal RNA (468 nucleotides) under uncultured bacterium. Its description in RNAcentral is "partial 16S ribosomal RNA". It matches the Rfam family "Bacterial small subunit ribosomal RNA", at positions 28 to 507 of the family's 1533-position model. The record is from RNAcentral.